RNAcentral lists this ribosomal RNA (497 nucleotides) under uncultured bacterium. RNAcentral's name for it is "partial 16S ribosomal RNA". It matches the Rfam family "Bacterial small subunit ribosomal RNA", at positions 28 to 507 of the family's 1533-position model. The record is from RNAcentral.
GAUGAACGCUGGCGGCGUGCCUAAUACAUGCAAGUCGAGCGAACAGUCGAGGAGCUUGCUCCUCUGACGUUAGCGGCGGACGGGUGAGUAACACGUGGAUAACCUACCUAUAAGACUGGGAUAACUUCGGGAAACCGGAGCUAAUACCGGAUAACAUGUUGAACCGCAUGGUUCAACAGUGAAAGACGGUCUUGCUGUCACUUAUAGAUGGAUCCGCGCCGCAUUAGCUAGUUGGUAAGGUAACGGCUUACCAAGGCAACGAUGCGUAGCCGACCUGAGAGGGUGAUCGGCCACACUGGAACUGAGACACGGUCCAGACUCCUACGGGAGGCAGCAGUAGGGAAUCUUCCGCAAUGGGCGAAAGCCUGACGGAGCAACGCCGCGUGAGUGAUGAAGGUCUUCGGAUCGUAAAACUCUGUUAUUAGGGAAGAACAAAUGUGUAAGUAACUAUGCACGUCUUGACGGUACCUAAUCAGAAAGCCACGGCUAACUACGUG